This 350-nucleotide ribosomal RNA is filed under the name uncultured bacterium. RNAcentral's name for it is "bacterial SSU rRNA". It matches the Rfam family "Bacterial small subunit ribosomal RNA", at positions 1 to 334 of the family's 1533-position model. The record is from RNAcentral.
GAUACGUCUUCAGAGUUUGAUCCUGGCUCAGGAUGAACGCUAGCUACAGGCUUAACACAUGCAAGUCGAGGGGCAGCAUGAAUUAUUGGCUUGCCAAUUAUUUGAUGGCGACCGGCGCACGGGUGAGUAACGCGUAUCCAACCUGCCCGGUCUGCGGGGUAACCCGUCGAAAGACGGACUAAUACCGCAUGGGGGUUCCCUGAGGGCAUCUGACGGGAACUAAAGAUUGAUCGGACCGGGAUGGGGAUGCGUCUGAUUAGCUCGUUGGCGGGGUAACGGCCCACCAAGGCUACGAUCAGUAGGGGUUCUGAGAGGAAGGUCCCCCACAUAGGAACUGAGACACGGUCCUA